ACUGAGGAGCUACCAUGCAAGUCGAGCGGCAGCACAGAGGAACUUGUUCCUUGGGUGGCGAGCGGCGGACGGGUUGAGUAAUGCCUGGGAAAUUGCCCGGUAGAGGGGGAUAACCAUUGGAAACGAUGGCUAAUACCGCAUAACCUCGCAAGAGCAAAGCAGGGGACCUUCGGGCCUUGCGCUACCGGAUAUGCCCAGGUGGGAUUAGCUAGUUGGUGAGGUAAGGGCUCACCAAGGCGACGAAUCCCUAGCUGGUCUGAGAGGAUGAUCAGCCACACUGGAACUGAGACACGGUCCAGACUCCUACGGGAGGCAGCAGUGGGGAAUAUUGCACAAUGGGCGCAAGCCUGAUGCAGCCAUGCCGCGUGUAUGAAGAAGGCCUUCGGGUUGUAAAGUACUUUCAGUAGGGAGGAAAGGUGGUUAAGUUAAUACCUUAAUCAUUUGACGUUACCUACAGAAGAAGCACCGGCUAACUCCGUGCCAGCAGCCGCGGUAAUAACGGAGGGUGCAAGCGUUAAUCGGAAUUACUGGGCGUAAAGCGCAUGCAGGUGGUUUGUUAAGUCAGAUGUGAAAGCCCUGGGCUCAACCUAGGAAUCGCAUUUGAAACUGACAAGCUAGAGUACUGUAGAGGGGGGUAGAAUUUCAGGUGUAGCGGUGAAAUGCGUAGAGAUCUGAAGGAAUACCGGUGGCGAAGGCGGCCCCCUGGACAGAUACUGACACUCAGAUGCGAAAGCGUGGGGAGCAAACAAGGAUUAUAUACCCUGGUAGUCCACGCCGUAAACGAUGUCUACUUGGAGGUUGUGCCCUAAGUCGUGGCUUUCUGAGCUAACCACGU
RNAcentral lists this ribosomal RNA (835 nucleotides) under Vibrio parahaemolyticus. Its description in RNAcentral is "bacterial SSU rRNA". It matches the Rfam family "Bacterial small subunit ribosomal RNA", at positions 42 to 860 of the family's 1533-position model. The record is from RNAcentral. Lineage: Bacteria; Pseudomonadati; Pseudomonadota; Gammaproteobacteria; Vibrionales; Vibrionaceae.